Molecule: unclassified non-coding RNA, 305 nt
Filed under: plant metagenome
Description: partial contains 5.8S ribosomal RNA, internal transcribed spacer 2, and large subunit ribosomal RNA
Rfam family: 5.8S ribosomal RNA (bases 1-105)
Source: RNAcentral
GAAAUGCGAUAAGUAAUGUGAAUUGCAGAAUUCAGUGAAUCAUCGAAUCUUUGAACGCACAUUGCGCCCGCCAGUAUUCUGGCGGGCAUGCCUGUUCGAGCGUCAUUUCAACCAUCAAGCCCCCGGCUUGUGUUGGGGACCUGCGGCUGCCCGCAGGCCCUGAAAAGUAGUGGCGGGCUCGCUGUCACACCGAGCGUAGUAGCAUACAUUCUCGCUCAGGGCGUGCUGCGGGUUCCGGCCGUUAAACGACCUUCAUAACCCAAGGUUGACCUCGGAUCAGGUAGGAAGACCCGCUGAACUUAAGC